GGGUAUAGCUCAGUGGUAGAGUGCCUGCCUAGUAUGCACAAGGUCCUGGGUUCCAUCCCCGGUAACUCCA
This 70-nucleotide transfer RNA is filed under the name Camelus bactrianus (Bactrian camel). It matches the Rfam family "tRNA". Rfam says of the family: Transfer RNA (tRNA) molecules are approximately 80 nucleotides in length. Their secondary structure includes four short double-helical elements and three loops (D, anti-codon, and T loops). The record is from Rfam by way of RNAcentral. RNAcentral also lists the same sequence under 1 other name. Lineage: Eukaryota; Metazoa; Chordata; Mammalia; Artiodactyla; Camelidae.